UCCUCGUUGUGUUGCAAAGUUACUUUUCCAGGUUGUGUCAUUUUUUUGAUUGUUCUACCGUCAAACCAGCGUUCUAACUCCAGAUGUGUGCGAAACCCCGUCUGUGUCUCCAGGGAUCUCUGCUCCAUCCUGACUGCUGGUGAGAAAAAGCCUGACUGAAGAUGUCUGAUGUGGAUGAAGAGGAGGACAGAUCAGAGUCUGAGGACAGAGUUCAGCAGCUCAGACACUCAGCAGAGUCUUCCAGAUCCAGCAGGUUGUCUCAGAAGAGUGACCGGUCUAAAGGUCAUCUUCCUCCAGUCUUCAGUGGUGAACCUGGACCUUCAGACUCAAAAGAGAAGAGGAGUGAUGUCUGUGAGGAGCAGCCAGAAAGAUCUGGAAGCGUUGCUGCACCAAGUAAGAGUGGAC
Molecule: long non-coding RNA, 405 nt
Organism: Salarias fasciatus (jewelled blenny)
Lineage: Eukaryota; Metazoa; Chordata; Actinopteri; Blenniiformes; Blenniidae
Exons: 4
Source: RefSeq, a predicted model, not a curated record